UACGGGGGGGGCAAGCGUUGUUCGGAAUUACUGGGCGUAAAGGGCGCGUAGGCGGCCUACUAAGUCGGACGUGAAAUCCCUCGGCUCAACCGAGGAACUGCGCUCUAAACUGUCGUGCUAGAGGAAGCUAGAGGUGAUCGGAACUGAUGGUGGAGCGGUGAAAUGCGUUGAUAUCAUCAGGAACACCGGAGGCGAAGGCGGCUCACUGGGGCUUUUCUGACGCUGAGGAACGAAAGCCAGGGUAGCGAACGGG
This 253-nucleotide ribosomal RNA is filed under the name uncultured bacterium. RNAcentral's name for it is "partial 16S ribosomal RNA". It matches the Rfam family "Bacterial small subunit ribosomal RNA", at positions 524 to 776 of the family's 1533-position model. The record is from RNAcentral.